GCGGCACACACUUGUAAUUCUAGCUACUGGGAGGCUGGGGCAGGAGGAGUGCAAACUGGUGAGACUCUGCCCCAAAUAAAAAAGGGCUUGGGAUGUAGCUCAGAGUGAAAGUCCUGAGUUGGAUACCCAGGGUGGAAGGGAGGGGGACAGGGCUUAAAAACUGAUGAUGAAAUGCAAACGAGCACCACAGCAUCCACUCUGUGUGGGCUUCCGGUGCUCAUUCAAUUAUUCUUCGCAUCUCAGUUUUUAAAAGGCCUCAAAAUGUGUACGAAUUACUUAAUUCCGCCCUUCCCCGGCCCGCUCUCUCUUUUCUGGUGCUGCCUUUCGCCUGCCACAUUAUUCCCGUGAGUUGAGAGUAAACCCGAGUUUGCCUUUUCGAGUACCCUGUACUUUGAACUCCCGUUCUCUGGACAAACAGCUCAGGAAAGCAUGAGGAAACAAACACCCGCCACCCGCCACUCUGCCCUGAUCGUACAAGCUUCAGAGCUGGCAGGGAGCAUGGAGACCUGGAGACACCUCAGACAGCGAGGAAUGAGACCUGGGAGUGGGGGCCUGGACCCCUGACUGUGAUCCACUCCUGAGCGCUGCAACAAGUCCCGUCCCUUGGAACAGGCCUUGUGACCCACACACAAAGGCCUCCCGGAAUGGAUGUGUGCCCUCAGUCCCACGGAUGCCACAGUGACAGCAACAGGAGAUGUGGAACCAUCUCUUGGACGGUUUACCCUCUCCUCUUGCUUCAAGAAGCAGGGCAAGAGAGGGCAAAUGGCAUGUGUGCUAAUGGAUUGGGAAGGCCGUCCACCAUUCAUCCUCCUGCCUCAACCUCCCAGAGUGCUGGGAUCUGGGGCUGAGCCACCACACUGGACUCUCAUGAGAGCCUCUUAUGCAGCCCUGGCCUCCCACACCUCCCAGCACAGCUGUCAGCCUCAUGCUCCACACUGGCCUCACCUCCCACCAUAUUGCCGAAAACCCUGCCUUACUCUCAGUGAUCCAGAUAAACCGAGGCAGUGGCAGUGCCCAGCACCUGAGUAUCUGCAGGUCUACAAAUACAUCAAGGAUCCCACAGAACAGCAGCAGUAGAGGCUACACCAAUUUAACUUUUAAAAACUAAAAUGGAAGUUCGGAGUGGUGACACACAUCUGUGACCCUAGCACUCUAGGAGGCUGAGACAGGAGGAUCAAUCACAAUUUCAAUCCUAACCAAGGCAGUUUAGUAACAUAGUAACACCUUGUCUAAAAAAAAAGAGGGGGGGAUGUAGCUCAGUGAAAAGGCCCUGAGUUCAAUGCCCAUCACCACAAAGAACAACAGUAAGAAACCUAGAGUGAAAUAAAAAUCUCAGCUCAGUCAUAUCGACCAUAUUUCAAAAGUUAGGCAGCCUCACAGGGCUGUGGUUGCCAAACUGAGGGCAGCUGCAGGGCUCCCCACAGCAUUGCAAGGGCAGGCAGGGCCCUGGAAACCUGUCCAUAUCAUGAGCAUGGACACAGCUGCCUCUACAGAGGGUGAGAGCAGGCAGCAAGCUGCCUAGGUGUGUGCUCCAGGCUGACAUGAGCCAGCUGGAGAGAGCUGGAUACUCCUGGGGGAAGAUGUUUUCCUCAGCUGCAAUGAGUCACUGUCCCGUUCCCAGGGCAGGAACGGACCUGUGAGGAGGCCAGACAGGGACCCUUUCCUGUGCAGCUCCCUCCUCUGGCCUCCAGGCCCCACCUAGCAUGCCAUCAACCACAGGCCAGCUCCAAAGAGCUCCUCAGUUUACAAAUCACUGCUCAGGUCUGUUUGGAGUCACAGGACAGAAGUCUUUCUGGUCCCAGUGGCCUGUGCACACUUCUGAGGCCAACUCACUGGCUCCCUCGGUCACAAGCACGAAGAACUGACAGAGCCCACCAAGGAGAAUGUUGUGCACAACUCCUCCAGGAAGCUGUGAUGUUACUCUUCUGUUCGGUGGUACUGGGGAUUGAACCCAAGGCCUUUGUUCUGAGCUACAUCCCCAGCCCUUUUAAAUUUUUUAAAAUUUGGGACAGGUCUUGUCUUAAGUUGCUAAGUUGCCCAGCCUGGACUUGAAUAUGUGAUUCUGUUGCCUCAGCCUCCCAGAGUGCUGGGAUUACAGGUGUAGCUAUGUUGGGCUUGUACAGUCAUUUUUGGUGGGGAGGGGCCAGGGCCGGGGAUUUAGCUCAGUGGUGCCGCCACCUGCCUCUUGCAAGGCCAAGGUCCCAAGUUUGAUCCCUAGUACCAAACAUAAAUAAAUAAAUAAAUAAAUACAUACAUAAAGUUACUUUUUGAAUCCUAAAUGCUGCCAACCCUGUCCUAAGACCCAGAAUAUCUGUGAGCUGCAGCAAUGCUCAUCAAGGGAGGAGCUGGGGAGGCCCCUCCAUCUCCACAGUGUGCCUGUGUGAAACCAGCAAGAACCCUUCGUCUCUGAAACCCCAGCCACAAACCACAAAGCCCUUCUGGAACAGGUACAGGAGCAGCUUUA
Molecule: long non-coding RNA, 2464 nt
Organism: Fukomys damarensis (Damara mole-rat)
Lineage: Eukaryota; Metazoa; Chordata; Mammalia; Rodentia; Bathyergidae
Source: Ensembl